CACCAUUAAUCCUUCCAUUUUCAUAUUUCUUUUUCUUAUUUAAAAUAUUUUCUUUGUCCAUAACAUUACCCAAAAAUAUAUUUCACUUUUCUUAACGUUUUAUUUAAUUUUAUAUAAUUUUUAUUUUCGUAUUUUUUAAAUAUUAAUAUUUUAUUUUAAUUAUUUAUUCUAAAUGGUCCAUUUUAACACACUUUUUUAUUGAUUUUAUUUUUAUGACUUAAAAUUAUUGUCAGCAUUUGAUUUUUGGGAUGAAGGUUG
RNAcentral lists this long non-coding RNA (258 nucleotides) under Lathyrus oleraceus (garden pea). RNAcentral's name for it is "Pisum sativum (pea) long non-coding RNA (PSAT_LNC002418)". The record is from RNAcentral. Lineage: Eukaryota; Viridiplantae; Streptophyta; Magnoliopsida; Fabales; Fabaceae.